Struthio camelus australis is the source of this 1719-nucleotide long non-coding RNA. NCBI's taxonomy places the organism in Eukaryota, Metazoa, Chordata, Aves, Struthioniformes, Struthionidae. The record is from Ensembl.
GUUUCAGGUGACGAUAGGCAGCUGCUCCAGUCUUUUGGUCUCACGCUGCGUUUCAGGGUUGGCUGUCGUAUCUGUGCAUACAUACGUUCCCGUGCAAAACGUGUAUAAACAGGCGUGUGUGUGUACGGUAGAUACAUAUUUUUUUGAUAUGAUUUGAUUUAUGUAUAAUAGCGCAUAUAAAGCUUUUCAAGGUGGCUGCAAUGUAAAAAGUAAUGACUUUAUUACCUCUGAAAGGUUCUGUGGUUCACAUUUAACAGUCCUCUGAAUUACAAUUCAUUACAGUUGUGCGCUCUCUAAAGCCAACAUACAUCAGAACACCUAUCUGUGGUUAUUUCCAGUAAAUAACAGGCAACAUUUUAUUGAUUUUCUUUAAAAAAUCAUAGCAAAUUAAGCACUUAGUUACAAGUAAAUCUGUUUUAUUAUUGCACUAUAUUUGAGAUUCCAGAGGUGACCUCCUAGACCGCAUCUUAAAACAUACAUUCAAAAGCUAAUUUCACAGAUGCUUUCGUGAAUGGCAGCGAGAAUGUUUCUACCAUUAGUAUGCCCUUAAUUCCAGCAUCAUAAAAAGCCUCGAAUUAAAUGGAAACUCGCUCCCUUAAAACAGUAUUUCAUCCUGUCUGGAUAAUUAUUAAUAUUGGCAUUUGAUCACAAUAGUGCCGUGCUCCCCCUGCGCCCCCCCUCAGCACUUUGCAUUGUCAUGUGAUUGGAGGGAGAUAACAAACCUCAAGAAAGAAAAGGAGUCAGAAGACAUUUUUAACAUGCUCUAACCACAGAUUAAUAAUCGAGUCCCACAGGAUGCUCCGCAAUCUUGCUGCAACAGUUUGAGCUGCUGUCAUCUUAGCCACUCUUUCGCCAGAGACUCCCGGCCCCAGAGCAACGGCAGCGUGAGGAAAUGUGGCCCCACAUCUCAGCUGCAUCUGGGCAAACUCUGAGUUCCAGGUCUAGUCAACGUUUUCCAGCCUUCAUCAUCUCACCUGGGAGGCGCUCAGAGAGGCACGUUAGCAAAGGCUGUAUCGUCCCUUCUCUGUAUCACAGACCUACGCAGAAGCAGCUGGUGAUGCUUGCGCACAGGACCCGUAGCCUGAAACACGCGCCAGGGCCCUCUCCUUUCCCGUGCAGCAUCUGAGGGAUUAAAAGUAGCCACUGGUUUCCAAAUUAAAAACAUGCUCAAAUUUAAGUAUAAUCACCAUUAAAAAUUUGCAACACAACACGAGACCAUUUAAAAAAUCAUGUAAAGAGAAAGCAAUCUUUUGUGGAUCCUUUUUUUGUGCAGCUGUUAAAUUCAAAACCAUGCUGUUUGUUACAGUAACAUUUUGCAGGGCAGUAGUCAAAACCAUGAAGUGGGCAUUUUGGCAUUAAAAAAAAAAGCCAAAGUAAACAAUACAGCUAAUUUAUAAGUGUUUAGAUGUGCAGUAUGUUUAAUACAAAUAUUCCUAUCAGUACGGUGGUGGCCUCAUAUAACAGGGUAAGCUACAGUUCAGACCUGUGAUGGUCUAUUGAAUACAUAAUAUGCAUGGUUUAAAUUGCCUGGAAACGUAUUCAUAUGGCAAAAUCUAAUGAUUCAGGUGGAGCCUUUACUCUUGAUCAAAUACUACAAGUUGUUAGAGACCAUGCUGUAAGCUCAUUGCUCACCAGUCUCCAUGAGAACUGUUUCAUGUUCCUGUUUAAAUAGGACUGGAGAGCAAGAAGGAAAAAAUAAACCACAAAAGAGUUAAUCCA